RNAcentral lists this ribosomal RNA (490 nucleotides) under uncultured bacterium. RNAcentral's name for it is "bacterial SSU rRNA". It matches the Rfam family "Bacterial small subunit ribosomal RNA", at positions 1 to 518 of the family's 1533-position model. The record is from RNAcentral.
AGAGUUGAUCAGUGGCUACGAGGACGAACGCUGGCGGCAUGCCUAACACAUGCAAGUCGAACGAGAGUAGCAAUACUCGAGUGGCGAACGGGUGAGUAACACGUGAGCAACCUGCCUUACACAACGGGAUACCUACUGGAAACAGUAGUUAAUACGGUAUAAGACCACAGUACCGCAUGAUACAGUGGUAAAAGAUUUAUCGGUGUAAGAUGGGCUCGCGGCGCAUUAGCUAGUUGGUGAGGUAACGGCUCACCAAGGCGACGAUGCGUAGCCGACCUGAGAGGGUGAUCGGCCACAUUGGGACUGAGAUACGGCCCAGACUCCUACGGGAGGCAGCAGUGGGGAAUAUUGGGCAAUGGAGGAAACUCUUACCCAGACCAAUGCCGCGUGAAUGAUGAAGGUCGUAAGAUUGUAAAGUUCUUUAGUCAGGGACAAAGAAAGUGAUGGUACCUGAAGAAUAAGCUCCGGCUAACUACGUGCCAGCAGCGGC